Molecule: unclassified non-coding RNA, 200 nt
Filed under: Basidiomycota sp.
Lineage: Eukaryota; Fungi; Basidiomycota
Also listed under: 1 other name
Description: partial contains internal transcribed spacer 2 and large subunit ribosomal RNA
Source: RNAcentral
CUUGUGCUGCUCACCUUAAAAGGAUUAGCUGGACAUGUCUUUUGACUUGGUUCUACUUGGCGUAAUAAGUAUUUCGCUGAGGACAUCCCUUCUGGGGUGGCCAAGACUCUGGCAAACGUCUGCUUUCUAACUCGACUGUCCUCGGACAUCACUUUUUAUGAUCUGGCCUCAAAUCAGGUAGGACUACCCGCUGAACUUAA